GGAGAGGUGCCCGAGUGGCUAAAGGGGGCAGACUGUAAAUCUGUUGGCUGACGCCUACGGUGGUUCGAAUCCAUCCCUCUCCA
RNAcentral lists this transfer RNA (83 nucleotides) under Candidatus Rifleibacteriota bacterium. RNAcentral's name for it is "tRNA-Tyr". It matches the Rfam family "tRNA". Rfam says of the family: Transfer RNA (tRNA) molecules are approximately 80 nucleotides in length. Their secondary structure includes four short double-helical elements and three loops (D, anti-codon, and T loops). The record is from RNAcentral. Lineage: Bacteria; Candidatus Rifleibacteriota.